Molecule: transfer RNA, 72 nt
Filed under: Oxygastra curtisii
Lineage: Eukaryota; Metazoa; Arthropoda; Insecta; Odonata; Corduliidae
Description: tRNA-Val
Source: RNAcentral
UACAGAUUAGAGCUUGGUAGAAAGCUUUUUAUUUACACUAAGAUGAUACUGUGCAACUCAGUUUAAUUUGAU